This 269-nucleotide long non-coding RNA is filed under the name Lathyrus oleraceus (garden pea). RNAcentral's name for it is "Pisum sativum (pea) long non-coding RNA (PSAT_LNC023158)". Lineage: Eukaryota; Viridiplantae; Streptophyta; Magnoliopsida; Fabales; Fabaceae. The record is from RNAcentral.
UUUAUCCAUUGCCUUUUAAAUUUUUUGUGCUUAAACUAGACUCAUCCAUGGUGAUUUUGGUAUAGAGUUUGUGAAUUUAUCAUCUCUGGUUUGUGAGUUAUGAUUUUUUGAAUUAGGGUGUGACAAUUUGUGUCACACCAUUGAUGUGCAACUUCAUGAUUUUCAAUACCAUGCCUCUUGACCUCAAAUUGCUUUGAAUUUUUGCAUGAUUGAGCUUAUGUAUGUCUAGUUUAUAUGUGAGUUUUCUUGGAAUUAUUUGUGGCAUUUCC